This 62-nucleotide ribosomal RNA is filed under the name Lodderomyces parapsilosis. Its description in RNAcentral is "Candida parapsilosis partial 28S ribosomal RNA". The record is from RNAcentral. Lineage: Eukaryota; Fungi; Ascomycota; Pichiomycetes; Serinales; Debaryomycetaceae.
UUCGACCUCAAAUCAGGUAGGACUACCCGCUGAACUUAAGCAUAUCAAUAAAGCGGAGGAAG